RNAcentral lists this ribosomal RNA (470 nucleotides) under uncultured bacterium. Its description in RNAcentral is "partial 16S ribosomal RNA". It matches the Rfam family "Bacterial small subunit ribosomal RNA", at positions 28 to 507 of the family's 1533-position model. The record is from RNAcentral.
GACGAACGCUGGCGGCGUGCUUAACACAUGCAAGUCGAACGCUGAAGCACCAGCUUGCUGGUGUGGAUGAGUGGCGAACGGGUGAGUAAUACGUGAGUAACCUGCCCUUGACUCUGGGAUAAGCCCGGGAAACUGGGUCUAAUACUGGAUGCUACAUGUCACCGCAUGGUGGUGUGUGGAAAGGGUUUACUGGUCUUGGAUGGGCUCACGGCCUAUCAGCUUGUUGGUGAGGUAAUGGCUCACCAAGGCGACGACGGGUAGCCGGCCUGAGAGGGUGACCGGCCACACUGGGACUGAGACACGGCCCAGACUCCUACGGGAGGCAGCAGUGGGGAAUAUUGCACAAGGGGCGAAAGCCUGAUGCAGCGACGCCGCGUGAGGGAUGACGGCCUUCGGGUUGUAAACCUCUUUCAGCAGGGAAGAAGCCACAAGUGACGGUACCUGCAGAAGAAGCGCCGGCUAACUACGUG